Molecule: ribosomal RNA, 253 nt
Filed under: uncultured bacterium
Lineage: Bacteria
Description: partial 16S ribosomal RNA
Rfam family: Bacterial small subunit ribosomal RNA
Source: RNAcentral
UACGUAGGGGGCAAGCGUUGUCCGGAUUUAUUGGGCGUAAAGAGCUCGUAGGCGGUUCCGUAAGUCAGGUGUGAAAAAUCUGGGCUCAACCCAGUGGAGCACCUGAUACUGCGGUGACUCGAGUCCGGGAGGGGAGUGUGGAAUUCCUGGUGUAGCGGUGGAAUGCGUAGAGAUCCGGAAGAACACCGGUGGCGAAGGCGGUCGACUGGGCCAGUACUGACGCUGAGGCGCGACAGCGUGGGGAGCAAACAGG